UACGUAGGGUGCGAGCGUUAAUCGGAAUUACUGGGCGUAAAGCGUGCGCAGGCGGUUUUGUAAGACAGCUGUGAAAUCCCCGGGCUCAACCUGGGAACUGCGGUUGUGACUGCAAGACUGGAGUGUGGCAGAGGGGGGUGGAAUUCCACGUGUAGCAGUGAAAUGCGUAGAGAUGUGGAGGAACACCGGUGGCGAAGGCAGCCCCCUGGGUCAACACUGACGCUCAUGCACGAAAGCGUGGGGAGCAAACAGG
Molecule: ribosomal RNA, 253 nt
Filed under: uncultured bacterium
Lineage: Bacteria
Description: partial 16S ribosomal RNA
Rfam family: Bacterial small subunit ribosomal RNA
Source: RNAcentral